This is a long non-coding RNA of Onychomys torridus (southern grasshopper mouse), 528 nucleotides long. RefSeq lists it as uncharacterized. Lineage: Eukaryota; Metazoa; Chordata; Mammalia; Rodentia; Cricetidae. The transcript is spliced from 2 exons. The record is from RefSeq and is a predicted model, not a curated record.
GUUGCUUCCUGCACAGGAAGCAGAGGCAGGAGGAUCAGGUCAGAGUCGCUCCUUGGAUGUAAAGGGAGUUCUAGGUCAGUCUGAGCUGCAUGAGACCCCCUUGCAAAGCCAGGACUCCCUUGGGGAGCUUCCCCAAGGUGUGAGUGAAGCUGAAAGCAGCCAAGGAGGUGCAUUAGCAGUGCACCUCCAAAUUGUUGUUUCUUUUCCUUUUUUCUAGGAAGGAUCUCGUGCGAGUUGAAGCCACAGUCAUUGAAAAGACAGAAUCAUGGCCCAAAAUCAACAUGAAAUUUAAGAAAAGGAAAAACUUGAGGAAGAAAAAAAUCAUCGUGAACCCACAGACCGUCCUCCGGAUUAACACCAUUGAGAUUGCACCUCGUUUGCUGUGACCACAGGGCAGACAGCUAAGAAGCAUAAAAUAAACUCAGGUCUGCACUCAGGACGCUGAGGCAGGGGGAUCACAAGUUCCACGCCAGCCUGGGCUACACAGCAAGACCCUGUCUGAUAAUAAACACCAAGUAUUUUGUAGGA